This 406-nucleotide ribosomal RNA is filed under the name uncultured bacterium. RNAcentral's name for it is "partial 16S ribosomal RNA". It matches the Rfam family "Bacterial small subunit ribosomal RNA", at positions 29 to 526 of the family's 1533-position model. The record is from RNAcentral.
AGUGAACGCUGGCGGCAGGCCUAACACAUGCAAGUCGAACGAGUGGCUGACGGGUGAGGAAUACAUCGGAAUCUACUCUGUCGUGGGGGAUAACGUAGGGAAAGUUACGCUAACACCGCAUACGCUUGUAUGCCCCGAUGUCGGAUUAGCUAGUUGGCGGGGUAACGGCACACCAAGGCGACGAUCCGUAACUGGUCGGAGAGGAGGACCAGUCACACUGGAACUGAGCCACGGUCCAGACUCCUACGGGAGGCAGCAGUGGGGAAUAUUGGACAAUGGGCGAAAGCCUGAUGCAGCCAUGCCGCGUGUGUGAAGAAGGUCUUCGGAUUGUAAAGCACUUUGAGUUGGGAGGCGUUACCUACAGAAUAAGCACCGGCUAACUUCGUGCCAGCAGCCGCGGUAAUUC